GGAAUUNCUGGGCGUAAAGCGGGCGCAGACGGUUANUUAAGCAGGAUGUGAAAUCCCCGGGCUCAACCUGGGAACUGCGUUCUGAACUGGGUGACUAGAGUGUGUCAAAGGGAGGUAGAAUUCCACGUGUAGCAGUGAAAUGCGUAGAGAUGUGGAGGAAUACCGAUGGCGAAGGCAGCCUCCUGGGAUAACACUGACGUUCAUGCCCGAAAGCGUGGGUAGCAAACAGGAUUAGAUACCCUGGUAGUCCACGCACUAAACGAUGUCGAUUAGCUGUUGGGCAGCAUGACUGCUUAGUAGCGAAGCUAACGCGUGAAAUCGACCGCCUGGGGAGUACGGUCGCAAGAUUAAAACUCAAAGGAAUUGACGGGGACCCGCACAAGCGGUGGAUGAUGUGGAUUAAUUCGAUGCAACGCGAAGAACCUUACCUGGUCUUGACAUGUACGGAACCCUCCAGAGACGGAGGGGUGCCUUCGGGAGCCGUAACACAGGUGCUGCAUGGCUGUCGUCAGCUCGUGUCGUGAGAUGUUGGGUUAAGUCCCGCAACUAGCGCAACCCUUGUCAUUAGUUGCCAUCAUUAAGUUGGGCACUCUAAUGAGACUGCCGGUGACAAGCCGGAGGAAGGUGGGGAUGACGUCAAGUCCUCAUGGCCCUUAUGACCAGGGCUUCACACGUCAUACAAUGGUCGGUACAGAGGGUAGCCAAGCCGCGAGGUGGAGCCAAUCUCACAAAACCGAUCGUAGUCCGGAUUGCACUCUGCAACUCGAGUGCAUGAAGUCGGAAUCGCUAGUAAUCGCAGGUCAGCAUACUGCGGUGAAUACGUUCCCGGGUCUUGUACACACCGCCCGUCACACCAUGGGAGUGGGGGAUACCAGAAGU
Molecule: ribosomal RNA, 879 nt
Filed under: uncultured bacterium
Lineage: Bacteria
Description: bacterial SSU rRNA
Rfam family: Bacterial small subunit ribosomal RNA
Source: RNAcentral